UGAGUAAUGCCUAGGAAAUUGCCCUGAUGUGGGGGAUAACCAUUGGAAACGAUGGCUAAUACCGCAUGAUGCCUACGGGCCAAAGAGGGGGACCUUCGGGCCUCUCGCGUCAGGAUAUGCCUAGGUGGGAUUAGCUAGUUGGUGAGGUAAGGGCUCACCAAGGCGACGAUCCCUAGCUGGUCUGAGAGGAUGAUCAGCCACACUGGAACUGAGACACGGUCCAGACUCCUACGGGAGGCAGCAGUGGGGAAUAUUGCACAAUGGGCGCAAGCCUGAUGCAGCCAUGCCGCGUGUGUGAAGAAGGCCUUCGGGUUGUAAAGCACUUUCAGUCGUGAGGAAGGUAGUGUAGUUAAUAGCUGCAUUAUUUGACGUUAGCGACAGAAGAAGCACCGGCUAACUCCGUGCCAGCAGCCGCGGUAAUACGGAGGGUGCGAGCGUUAAUCGGAAUUACUGGGCGUAAAGCGCAUGCAGGUGGUUUGUUAAGUCAGAUGUGAAAGCCCGGGGCUCAACCUCGGAAUUGCAUUUGAAACUGGCAGACUAGAGUACUGUAGAGGGGGGUAGAAUUUCAGGUGUAGCGGUGAAAUGCGUAGAGAUCUGAAGGAAUACCGGUGGCGAAGGCGGCCCCCUGGACAGAUACUGACACUCAGAUGCGAAAGCGUGGGGAGCAAACAGGAUUAGAUACCCUGGUAGUCCACGCCGUAAACGAUGUCUACUUGGAGGUUGUGGCCUUGAGCCGUGGCUUUCGGAGCUAACGCGUUAAGUAGACCGCCUGGGGAGUACGGUCGCAAGAUUAAAACUCAAAUGAAUUGACGGGGGCCCGCACAAGCGGUGGAGCAUGUGGUUUAAUUCGAUGCAACGCGAAGAACCUUACCUACUCUUGACAUCCAGAGAACUUUCCAGAGAUGGAUUGGUGCCUUCGGGAACUCUGAGACAGGUGCUGCAUGGCUGUCGUCAGCUCGUGUUGUGAAAUGUUGGGUUAAGUCCCGCAACGAGCGCAACCCUUAUCCUUGUUUGCCAGCGAGUAAUGUCGGGAACUCCAGGGAGACUGCCGGUGAUAAACCGGAGGAAGGUGGGGACGACGUCAAGUCAUCAUGGCCCUUACGAGUAGGGCUACACACGUGCUACAAUGGCGCAUACAGAGGGCGGCCAACUUGCGAAAGUGAGCGAAUCCCAAAAAGUGCGUCGUAGUCCGGAUUGGAGUCUGCAACUCGACUCCAUGAAGUCGGAAUCGCUAGUAAUCGUGGAUCAGAAUGCCACGGUGAAUACGUUCCCGAGCCUUGUACACACCG
Molecule: ribosomal RNA, 1289 nt
Filed under: Vibrio parahaemolyticus
Lineage: Bacteria; Pseudomonadati; Pseudomonadota; Gammaproteobacteria; Vibrionales; Vibrionaceae
Description: bacterial SSU rRNA
Rfam family: Bacterial small subunit ribosomal RNA
Source: RNAcentral